Non-coding RNA from Camelina sativa (false flax), 971 nucleotides. The record is from RefSeq and is a predicted model, not a curated record. Lineage: Eukaryota; Viridiplantae; Streptophyta; Magnoliopsida; Brassicales; Brassicaceae.
UCUUGUCCAAAUACUAAAUCUUGCCUAACCACUCCUCCAUAAACCAAAUUCUUUCAAGCUCUCUCAAAUUCUCACAACUCUUAAAACACAUAAAGAACUAGUAGUAAAACCAGAGGAUCGAAUUGAAGAUAUGUUGAGUCCGUUUUCGUCGUCACCUAGGAGAUCGAGGAAAGGAGGCAAAAAAGAAAGCAAGAAUCCUUAUUCAAACCAAGGACUUGAAAAGUUCUCUGCACUUGUCUCUGAGCUAGAUGAGAAAAGACAGAGCAUUUACGCGAAGAGGCUUGAUUCUGAUGGACCGCCUCUUGUUCGGUUUAUGUUCACUAGCUCCGGAGAGUGCGUCCCCGUAAUGAUCAAGACAAAGAGGGCAGCUGCAGGUCAGAAGAAGAAUGCUCAAGACGAUUUCAAAGUCGUGACCGAAUCAAAAACAAAGGAAGAGAAAGAAACCAAGAGAAUAGAGUCAGGAACAGAGAAGAAACAAAGCUGUGUAUUGAACGAGAAUCUGAAGAAGAUUUCGAGACCGAACCAUUUCUUACCCGUGACAGUGGUGUUGGUUCUUAUCUUCUUGGUGUUUUUCGGACGAACCGUCUCGAUCAUGUGCACUUGUAUCGUUUGGUACUUGGUUCCAAUGAUUAAGGACCAUAGCAGAAACAGAGGAUCAACGUACGAGACGAAGAAGAAAAAGAAGAAACUGAAUAUCGAGAACAGAGCAGCAUCGUUUAACCAGAAGACGGCUGUUCGUGACCAAACUGUUCUUAAGGACAGAUUUACGCAUCUGGCAGCUCCUGCUAAAACCCGGUGACAAAUUUUUGAAACUCAGUUUUUGGUUUAUCAUAUCUGAACCGUGUAAACCCAGCCCAAAGGAUAGAAUGAGAAAACAUUAAUGUGUGACAGUGUACGAGAGAGAGAGAGAGAGGCUGAUUCGUACGGUAAAGCAUAAUUUGUUCGUAACCGAGACAAAAAAAAAAAGACCA